Molecule: non-coding RNA, 1507 nt
Organism: Theobroma cacao (cacao)
Lineage: Eukaryota; Viridiplantae; Streptophyta; Magnoliopsida; Malvales; Malvaceae
Source: RefSeq, a predicted model, not a curated record
AAGAGACACAGAAAAAAGAAACCCGGAAGCCCGACGCAAUGUCGAAACAGAGCCAUCGUCACUUGACGGAUCUCGGCUGCAUCGCCUACGAAGACUUGUCCGAGUUCGGCGCUGCCCCCAACGCCAGCACCUCUCUCCUCUGUGCUCUCGAUGCUCAUUGUCUCGCCAUCGCUAACCGAUCUCUUAUCCUCAUCGCCAACGCCAGCACCACUUUCCUUUUAUCUUGGUUUACUCUUUGCGUGGUGAUUUGAUUCAUAGACAGAUGGUAUAUCCAAGACACGUUGUAAACUUAAGAGUCUGUGGAAGUAAGAAAGAUAUGACACAAGAUUUAUCCUCAGAGGAGGUUUGUGUUGUCAUACCUGGCGUGAUUGCACGUUUUGAUGUGUCUGAUAUUCAGGUGAGUUCCCUGCUUAAAUGUGUAAUAGUUAUUUUGAAACAUGGCAAGAGCCUUGCCUGUUUAUCUCAUGCAGAAGCAAAGCAUUAGAUUUGUGUACGUGUUUGACCAACUUAGAUAACUAACUUAAAUGAGUAAUGUCGAGUACGCUUCAAAGGUCAUUUCAAGAAACACAUUCUCGUUUUUGGGAUCAGAAACCAAAGAAAGAUUUAGAGGAUAUAGGAAACUCUUAUGGUAGAUUACCAGUUAUGGAAACACAUUCCUUCGUAGGAGGUAUUUUGUCAAAAGUUGUGCCUGCAACAUUACUAUCGUGCAGCUUUCUGAAGUUAUUCUGGUAUUUGAAUUCAGCUGCUUUUUUUAUUGUUGGGCAGUCAAGUCAACGUUACUAAUGUGCAGUCACCAUUGGAGAUGAUGCUUUGAUCUCAGCUUUCAGACUCUCAGAAGAUAGGAACCGUUCCUUGGUAGGAGCUAUUUUGUCAAAAGUUGUGUCUGCAACAUGUUCCACAAGUGGUUCUUUCUCUAAAAUGAUAUGGCAGAGUGAACAAACGUCAAACAGGAAGUCAGAAGAGAAGCCUCAAUCAUUUGCCCGAGAUGAAGUCAUUUGUUCAACAUUUAUCGUCACAAUGAUAACGAUGCAUUACUAUUUAGUAGUGAGUCCAUAUCAUCUAAUCAUCCUUGCUUAUGGGGUGCAUAGGCGCUACAUACAAGUGGACUGUUACACUAAAGAUAGUUGGGAUUGAAUUAUUAUAGAAUUGUAGUGAAAAUAAUAGUGGGCAUGAAUUGACUUAUUACUCUAAUUGUGUGAACGGAUUGACAGAUUAUCCUAAACUAUGUUCACUCCAUAAGCAAACAUCUUAAUUUAAUCCUUUCAUACGUGGAUUCAAUGUAACUAAUUUUUCCUCUAUUCAGGAUAUACAUUUGACAGAUUUUCGGCUUUGCUGUUGUAGACUAAGUUGUGUUGUUGGAGAGUGAAAACUAUAGUACUUCUCUAGAUGGUUUUCAUUGUGCAGCUCUUAGAACUUCAUUUAGUAGAGCUCACAUUUAGCCAAAAAAAAAAACCUGUAAUUUUUACUGUUUUGUACUUGAUAUGGAAGUUAUACAUCCAUUUUUUAA